RNAcentral lists this ribosomal RNA (900 nucleotides) under uncultured eukaryote. RNAcentral describes it as "SSU rRNA". It matches the Rfam family "Eukaryotic small subunit ribosomal RNA", at positions 537 to 1467 of the family's 1831-position model. The record is from RNAcentral.
CAAGUUAACGAUCGCCCUUGUGCCAAGCAGCCGCGGUAAUUCCAGCUCCAAUAGCGUAUAUUAAAGUUGUUGUGGUUAAAAAGCUCGUAGUUGGAUCUCGGCGGACUGAGGGCGGUUUGCUUGCUAGUAUUACUGCCCUAUAGUCCGUAGUUUUGCCAGAGGUUUCGGGGUGCUCUUAAUCGAGUGUCCCGGGAUGCUGGCAGGUUUACUUUGAAAAAAUUAGAGUGCUCAAAGCAGGCUAUUACGCCUGAAUAUUCGUGCAUGGAAUAAUAGAAUAGGAAGUCGUUUCUAUUUUGUUGGUUUUCGGAAAUCGACUUAAUGAUUAAUAGGGACAGUCGGGGGCAUUUGUAUUCAAACGACAGAGGUGAAAUUCUUGGACCGUUUGAAGACAAACUACUGCGAAAGCAUUUGCCAAGAAUGUUUUCAUUAAUCAAGAACGAAAGUUAAAGGUUCGAAGGCGAUUAGAUACCGCCCUAGUUUUAACCAUAAACGAUGCCAGCUAGCGAUCUGCGGACGUUUUUUUUGUAGACUCCGCAGGAAGCUUCCGGGAAACCAAAGCAUUUGGGUUCCAGGGGAAGUAUGGUUGCAAAGCUGAAACUUAAAGGAAUUGACGGAAGGGCACCACCAGGAGUGGAGCCUGUGGCUUAAUUUGACUCAACACGGGAAAUCUCACCAGGCCCGGACACUGGAAGGAUUGACAGAUUGAUAGCUCUUUCUUGAUUCGGUGGGUGGUGGUGCAUGGCCGUUCUUAGUUGGUGGAGUGAUUUGUCUGGUUAAUUCCGAUAACGAACGAGACUCUGUCCUGCUAAAUAGUGUCUGCUUCUCUUUUGAGCAGACAAUUCUUCUUAGAGGGACUGGCGACUCUUAGUCGCACGAGAUUGAGCAAUAACAGGUCUGUGA